CUGCCCCUUCCUGCCCGCCCCACGCCCCUCGGAGCCUGCGGCCCGCCCACGGCCCGAGCGCCACCUCGAACCUCGGGGCUGGGGGAGGCGGGCGCUCGCGCGCCGUGCGGGCCCGGGGCGCCGUGCGGGGCUCCCCGGGGUGCGCGCGGGGUCUCCGGCCCCUUCCUCUGGCCUCGGGGCCGGCCGGCCGGGCUCCCACGCGCCCUUCACAGCGGGGCGUCUGCGGGUACCGUGCGGGACGCCAGGCGCCUUACACGGGGUCCUCCAACCCAGACUUCAUUUCACACGCAGGUAAACUGAGGCCUGCAGCGGCUUACUGAUUUGGCCACAGCAGAAAAACAGCUGUGGGAGAGGAAACUACAACCCGAGGAGGAGAUCCAUCCAGAGCCAGGGCGGACGAGACAGCAGGGAGCGAGGAGUGGGAAACUGAGGCACCGAAGAGGGCGCGGUGCGGGGGUGGAAUCCGUGGAAAAGGACUUCUUGGGAAAGACAACCCGAGGGGCCCAGCCGGAGGCGGCGGGUCCCACCACUGCCCCACACCCACCCCCAGUCCCGCCUCUCCUCUCCUCUCCUCUCCUCUGCUUCCCUCCCCGACUCUCUCGCUCGCCAGGCUGCCACGUUCCGGGCUUACAUAACCCAAGAAGAAAAGCCAGAGCCGAUACCCGGCGGGCUGAAGCUAGGGAUGGAGGGGCCUAGGCUUGCGUGGGGGCUCUGCCCUCCUCCCGCCAUCGUUCUCCCCUUCCUGUAUCCCUCUCAUCAGGGUCUACAGCCUUGGGUGUCUAUUCUCUCCUUCGUUGGGGGUUUCAGAUCACUUCCAUCCUCCUCGUGGGUGCCCUUUUGAGUCCCCUUUGAGUUCCGAACGUCAGGAUGGCCUUCCAUGAAGGAAAAAGACAAAACCUUCCACAGUGCGUCUUUGGCCAGUGCUUCCCCUUUGCUGCCAUUCCCACUAGAAGCAAUGUCCAGAAGUAGAGUCUGCAUCAUUGUGGUGGUCCAAGCUCACACGAUUCCUGGAAAGGAACACUGUACUGCACUCCUGAAACACACUCACCCCUGGUUCCGAAGAACCCAGAGGGGUGAGUCCUGGAGCUCUGGACACUUUUGGUCAACCCAGUGUGCACAUGAGAUAGAGGGCUAGAAAGGCCCUGGGAGACUAAGCAGGGCUGUUGAGAGACCAGGUCCCUUCCUAGACAGCACUCCCAGAGCACAGGGAGCCCUGAGCAAAUGGCACCAGGAGAUGGCAGGAGUCAGGCUGAGCUUCCCUGCUUCCUAAGACGGGAAGCCAGGUCCAAACAGCUAUCCAGGACUGCCUAGUUUCCAGCAUUGUCUAGUCUGGCCACUUCCCUGUCUCUAGCCUCCAGCCCUGUUCAAGUUUCCCAGAGAGUGUGAGGUGAAGGAAGGGAGGACACAAACAACAGGAUAUCUUGGGCUCUUGAGACUUCCACCCCCUGCCACCAAGCCCUGCUCCAUACAGCAGUCACAUGGAGUCAGUUCCUCCCUGUUAGAUCCCCAGCAGGCUCACCAGUACCAAGUACUUUUUCUACCUGUGCCUUUCCCACCCACAUCCACCUCACCUAUUCCUCUGGCUCCUGUCCUUCCAGUCACACUGUUAUUCGAGCUGCAGUGCACAGCCCUUGCACAGUCCAGAUGCAAAGGACCCCUUUCCCUUUUCCUUGACGCUACUGUGAAUCUGUUCACCAGCCCGCUCUCACUCUGCACAGUGUACUUUUUUUUCCCCCUUCAAUAAAUGCCCAUCCCUCUCUCUUUUCCGGAGGUCUUGUCCACUUCUUUAUCAGGACACUUGGAAAGAAUUCCUCCAGGCCCCACUAUUUGGUAACAUUUUCUAGGCAGGUCCAGCUGAGAAAUAAGACUCUUCUCUUUCCCAUUUUUGGUCAGUCAUAGUGUUAUAGACAGCUAAGUUAGGUAGAAAUAAAUAGGCAGUCCGACAGGGGUAAGCCCUCAAAAGAGUCAAUACAAAAGAUGAAAACACUAUGGCUAUUUCUGGAGCAGUAUCUGUUGGAGGCCAGGACUCAAGAUAAAGACAAAAUGAUCAGGGCAACAUGCUUCUCCAGUAAGACAAGUGGUAACAACUGGUCCAGUGAAGUCUAG
Molecule: long non-coding RNA, 2106 nt
Filed under: Cavia porcellus (domestic guinea pig)
Lineage: Eukaryota; Metazoa; Chordata; Mammalia; Rodentia; Caviidae
Description: lncRNA (ENSCPOG00000032898.1)
Source: RNAcentral